Zostera marina is the source of this 105-nucleotide small nucleolar RNA. It matches the Rfam family "Small nucleolar RNA Z103". From Rfam's summary of the family: This family consists of several snoRNA Z103 sequences which are members of the C/D class of snoRNA which contain the C (UGAUGA) and D (CUGA) box motifs. This family seems to be found exclusively in plants. NCBI's taxonomy places the organism in Eukaryota, Viridiplantae, Streptophyta, Magnoliopsida, Alismatales, Zosteraceae. The record is from Rfam.
AAGGAUAUGAUGAUCCUUUCCCCAAAUGAUCGACAAUGAAUAAUCUGUGCGACUUUUUGUUAUUGUCUCGUAUGAGAUGAUAUCCAAGCCAGAGAUCUGAUCCUU